Marmota monax (woodchuck) is the source of this 3986-nucleotide long non-coding RNA. RefSeq lists it as uncharacterized. The record is from RefSeq and is a predicted model, not a curated record. NCBI's taxonomy places the organism in Eukaryota, Metazoa, Chordata, Mammalia, Rodentia, Sciuridae. The transcript has 2 exons.
GACAGCUGGGCUCAAUGGCACAUGCCUGUGUGAUCCCAGUGACUCAAGAGGCAGAGGCAGGAGGCUUGCAAAUUCCAGGCCAGCCUCAGCAAGAGAAAUCAUGUCUCAAAAUAAAAAACAGAUAGGACUAGGGAAGUGGCUCAGUGAUUAAGAGCCCCUGGGUUCAAUCCCUGGUACCCUCCCCCAAAAAAAGUUUGAAACAUAGUUAAAUUAGCAACAAUAAACCUUGUAAAUUCCCUCUUGGAAGUUUCUACUUAAUCCUAGGGCAUCCUCAGAGGGAGAGAACAUAAUGUCAAAAGUAAAUUUUGCUAACCUGUUGAUCAUUCUAGAUGCAGAAACAUUGAAUAAGCACAUAUCCAAAGGCUUUAUAUGCCAGAUGCUAUGCCAGGACCCUGCCUCUGAGAGGCCAGUGGGGGAAGAUAGUCUCCAAACUAGUUUCCACAACAUUGUACAAAAGUACAAUGUGCUGUGGGAAACAAGAAGUUUGGAGGAAAUCUGGAAUAGUCAGGGUUUCAUCCAGCUGAUGUUUAUGCUGAGUCUCAAAAUGGGAACUGUCCCCAAAAAAAGGACAACAAGGGGAGAGGAUGCACUGUGGACAAUGAAAACGUGGGCAGAGCAAUGAAUUGUGAAAGGGCUUGGCCUGUUUAUGGGUACAUGGAAAGAGCAGGGAGGCUAAAAAUCAGGAUGUCUCUUUGGAAGUGAGGAAGAUGAGAGGUUGCAAGGUACCUGGCCCACUAAGCCAAGAACUUUGGAGUCUACCUGGUAGGCAGAGGUAGACAACAGGGAGACAAGCAAGUGGGGCUUUUGUAAGGGAAGUGAUAGGCUUGUGGUAGACCAAAAGCAGCUUACAUGGUAUAACAUGUGACAGGGAAAUCCGAAUACUGCAAAUAAAUCACCUUUCCAACUUUGUUUAAACAGACUCACCUUUUUUAUUUAUUAUUAUUAUUUUUGUCUUGAAAAGUCCUGGUUAAAAGGCAAAUCUUCCUGGAAAGUUACUACCUUGGGGAUUACCAGCCCUUACCUUUGUGUUGUUUGUGACAGCCUGCUGAGAGAAAGGCUCUGAUGGAACUUAGGCCCAGGAAGAAGAAAGAGAGAAAGGCCAGAAAGAGGACAUAUGGAAGCACUUUUGUUUUGAAUAUACCAUGUUGUUCUUGCUGCCCAAAAUGAGAUGCCAUUAUUGCCAGAAUUCCUAUCUUCAUCCCAGUGCUGGUGAAGUCAAAGAUAAAACCAAUCUACAGCUUCUACAAUAGCCAUCACUGAACUGCUUGCAGAACUUGCCUGGACACAUUGUGAGCUCACCUGUAUGCAUUGUGAACUAUCUGUUGGUGCAGCGACUUGUGGUAGUGUUGGGGUAUUUUUGCUGAUGAUGUCACCAGUGGUACAAUUUUUCAAAGGAGCCCUCAAUUGGCUUAAUGUCAUGGCAUUUUGCAUCCUCCUCUACUAGUGAUGGUCUAAAAUUUGGGGGCCAACAGAGGUGAGGCAAAGAACCUCACCCCCCCACUGGUGCAAAGGCCUAUCCACAAGUAUAGCUGUAUGCUGGACCGGUAGUCAGUGACGGGUAUGAUCCAAUUGCAGUGGUACCAACCUAAGACAGGAGGCUGACGCCUAGAAGUCAGUUCAUCCGAUGAUGGGUAAGGACCAUAUGUUGAAUUGGACUGCCUAACAGACACGGUCCCUAAGCCACAUGCUUGUUGUUUAAACAGAGAGGGGGAGAUGUUGAGAGCCACAGCCGAAGGGGCCCCAGCAAACUUCCAGCUGCCAGCAAACUUCCAGCUGCCGGCUGAUGAUUGGCUCACAGCGGCCCCAGCAACAUCUAGCUGAUUGGCUCCUCAGCCCCAGCAACAUCUAGCUGAUUGGCUCCUCUGCGGUGAUGCUCAUUGGACUGUUUCCCUGCCCUUUCAGACCACGGAGCUGCUCAUUGGGGGACUUUUUUGGCUCCGCCCACGUGACCCAGCCAAUCGGCCUCAAGAGCAGGAGGAUUGUGGGAGGUGGAGAGAAGCUUGUGUGGGAGAGAGAGGCUUGUGGAAAGCCGGUGGUGGCAGUUGAGGCUCUGAGGGUUUUUCCUGAGAGGCUGUUUUGUUUGGCGUGUGUGGUUCUAAAAAUAAAGUUAGUUUCUUUUGACAAGUGGCUCCUGAUUGUGCCCAGCCAGACUGCGGCACUGAACAACCAUGUAAACGCAGAGUAAAAACUUACUAAAUAUUUUAUUGAAUGAGAAAGAAAUAAUGCUGUGUCUCUACAAAGGAGGAUUAACUGUCUAAUUUUCAGGACCUACUGCACAAGGUUGUUCUAAUUCAUGUAGUUAUAUUCCUUAGAAGGGAAUAUGGAAGUGCUAUUUUUAAAUUUAUGAGUAUUGGUGCAAUUGAAAGGGAAUGGACAAAGAUGAGAGAAAGUUGUGUUUGCCAUACAAAGAUAAGCUUUUAUACGGACCUAAAGGAUAGCUGAGUCUUGUUAAUAUUCAACACAUUCUAGUAAUAAUAGCUCCCAAACUCAAAUGAUUAUCAAAGCCCUUUCAGUCUUCUGAGUUACAUCUUCAUUUGAAAAGCCUGGAUCCUUUCAGCUCUUGAGCUAUAGCUCACUUUGAACAACCCAGUAGUGUAAACUACUAUUAAGUUCUCCAUGAAAUAUCCUUAGGAGAAUUUUGUGGAAAGAAUAACUGUUUCUCUUUUUCUCAAAUGAUUAAUAAUUAUAUUCCUUUUGACAUUUUACAAGCUCACUUUAUUUCAUUCCAGAUCAACUCUCACAUAUUUAGCAUAUCUUAAUAUGGUUAUGUAAUUUUAAUGAUUUUUAUUUAACAUUCACAUUUUGUGGCACAAAACAACUUAGAUACAUGAUGUGUGAGGACCAGAACUUACUUUUUUCUUAUAUCUUCAAACCAAUUUAAAAAGAUGAUAACUUCCCAUGUUAUUUUGUGAAAACACCUUUUACAUCAAGAAUAACUGCUUGGGGCCAGCAAACACAUAAGCAUAUAUGCAAUAUACCCAAACAUUUGCCAAAUAGACUUAAAUGCAUUCUCAACACUCAAAUUCAAAUAUAUUUUUCAAGGUUUAACUCAAUGAACCCACAAAUAAUCAAGAUGUAUAAUAUAGAACACCAUACAAUUAUAGUCAUUAUCAGAGUAAAGCAGAUUGGACACUUAAUACAUAUUCCAUAUAUAGAAUCUUUUCAUCUUGUGAUUUCAACUCAUACCUCAAAAACAUUAAUUAAACUUUACAAUGUGGCCAGAUGAGGCAUAGUUAUUAUUGGCUCUCUUUUAACCAACCUAUUUAUAAAGGUAAAUAUCUGCAUAAAGAAAGAAUGCAAAUGAGGACUGGUUUUCCUAAUGUCCAUUUCUAUAAGCACCUCCCUAAAAAAGGCAGAGUACAAAAUGUUUUCCUCUUUUGAUCACAGGGAUUCCCCCAGGGUGUUAGGUUUUAGUUCUUCUCCAAACUUCUCAUGGCAGAUUUUCAGACAGACAGACAGACAUUCCUGGAAGGCUUGUUAUCCAGUGAGUGGGAUUUUCCUUAAAAAUGGGAGAGACAGCCAGGCUCUGUGGCACAUGCUGUAAUCCCAGCAAAUCUGAGGCUGAGGCAGAGGGAUAGCAAGUUCAAGGCCAGCCUCAGCAACUUAGCAAGACCCUGUCUCAAAAUUUUAAAAUAUUUUUUUAUAGGCCUGGGUGUGUAAGUAGCUUAAUGUAAAAUGCCCCUGGGUUGAUUGGGCUCAAUCCCCAGUUACUUAAUGUGUCAAGAUAAAAAGAACUGCUGGGUAAAAGGUAGUUGGUGUUUUGCUAUCAUUUUUUCUGAAGGACCAUCUUUAAAGCCUGGAAAUACAGACAGUAACCAAGCUGUAUUGAGAUAGUAUAUCAAAAUAAGGGUUUGUUAUGUGCUACCAACAGCAGUGGACUGUUAUGAGAUGGCUGAGGAAGUCAAACAUCAUUUUCCUAUCCUGAGGUUGUUUUAUAAAAAGGAACAAAUACUGAACCUAUGGUACUAAAUAAAAUGUGAACAUAA